Molecule: ribosomal RNA, 476 nt
Filed under: Fusarium merismoides
Lineage: Eukaryota; Fungi; Ascomycota; Sordariomycetes; Hypocreales; Nectriaceae
Description: SSU rRNA
Rfam family: Eukaryotic small subunit ribosomal RNA
Source: RNAcentral
UCAUGAUAACUUCUCGAAUCGCACGGCCUUGCGCCGGCGAUGGUUCAUUCAAAUUUCUUCCCUAUCAACUUUCGAUGUUUGGGUAUUGGCCAAACAUGGUUGCAACGGGUAACGGAGGGUUAGGGCUCGACCCCGGAGAAGGAGCCUGAGAAACGGCUACUACAUCCAAGGAAGGCAGCAGGCGCGCAAAUUACCCAAUCCCGACACGGGGAGGUAGUGACAAUAAAUACUGAUACAGGGCUCUUUUGGGUCUUGUAAUUGGAAUGAGUACAAUUUAAAUCCCUUAACGAGGAACAAUUGGAGGGCAAGUCUGGUGCCAGCAGCCGCGGUAAUUCCAGCUCCAAUAGCGUAUAUUAAAGUUGUUGUGGUUAAAAAGCUCGUAGUUGAACCUUGGGCCUGGCUGGCCGGUCCGCCUCACCGCGUGUACUGGUCCGGCCGGGCCUUUCCCUCUGUGAACCCUCAUUCCCACUCACGGU